This 586-nucleotide ribosomal RNA is filed under the name uncultured bacterium. RNAcentral's name for it is "bacterial SSU rRNA". It matches the Rfam family "Bacterial small subunit ribosomal RNA", at positions 338 to 916 of the family's 1533-position model. The record is from RNAcentral.
CCUACGGGAGGCAGCAGUGGGGAAUUUUGGACAAUGGGCGCAAGCCUGAUCCAGCAAUGCCGCGUGAGUGAAGAAGGCCUUCGGGUUGUAAAGCUCUUUUGUCAGGGAAGAAACGGUGGGAGCUAAUAUCUUCCACUAAUGACGGUACCUGAAGAAUAAGCACCGGCUAACUACGUGCCAGCAGCCGCGGUAAUACGUAGGGUGCAAGCGUUAAUCGGAAUUACUGGGCGUAAAGCGUGCGCAGGCGGUUUUGUAAGUCUGUCGUGAAAGCCCCGGGCUCAACCUGGGAAUUGCGAUGGAGACUGCAAGGCUUGAAUCUGGCAGAGGGGGGUAGAAUUCCACGUGUAGCAGUGAAAUGCGUAGAGAUGUGGAGGAACACCGAUGGCGAAGGCAGCCCCCUGGGUCAAGAUUGACGCUCAUGCACGAAAGCGUGGGGAGCAAACAGGAUUAGAUACCCUGGUAGUCCACGCCCUAAACGAUGUCUACUAGUUGUCGGGUUUUAAUUAACUUGGUAACGCAGCUAACGCGUGAAGUAGACCGCCUGGGGAGUACGGUCGCAAGAUUAAAACGUCAAAGGAAUUGACGG